Molecule: RNA transcript, 3899 nt
Organism: Columba livia (rock pigeon)
Lineage: Eukaryota; Metazoa; Chordata; Aves; Columbiformes; Columbidae
Gene: SLC20A2
Gene name: solute carrier family 20 member 2
Exons: 13
Source: RefSeq, a predicted model, not a curated record
GCCCGGUGACCGUGCCCGUGUCAGGACAGGACAUCGCAGUCGUACCGGUUCGGGAGCGAAAUAUGGAAUGUGUUUCACUGCUGACCGACGGCAGCCAAAUGAACAGUAUUUCUAGUAGUUUGAAAAUCAGCAGUUAGCAGUUUCUUCACAUUCUGACAGGACCCAGCACUUUCCAGAGAGAACUCAUUGUUUACAAGAAAUCUGCUUUCCAAAUCCGCUACGGUGCCCUCCAGCCCCCGCUGGUAACUGUUCGCAAAGGGGACGCUCGCUCCGCGGUUCGGGGAAAGAUGGCAAUGGAUGAGUACCUGUGGAUGCUCGUCGUGGGCUUCAUCAUAGCCUUCAUUUUAGCCUUUUCGGUGGGGGCCAACGACGUCGCCAACUCGUUCGGCACGGCCGUGGGCUCCGGCGUGGUCACCCUGCGCCAGGCGUGCAUCCUGGCCUCGGUGUUCGAAACCACCGGCUCGGUCUUGCUGGGGGCGAAAGUGGGAGAAACGAUUCGGAAAGGGAUCAUCGACGUGAACCUGUACAACAACACGGUCCCGCUGCUCAUGGCCGGGGAAGUCAGCGCCAUGGUCGGUUCUGCUGUUUGGCAGCUGAUUGCGUCGUUCUUGAAGCUCCCGAUAUCGGGAACCCAUUGCAUUGUCGGUGCUACGAUUGGAUUCUCCCUGGUCGCCAUCGGCACGCAGGGGGUCCAGUGGAUGCAGCUGGUCAAGAUUGUUGCCUCUUGGUUUAUUUCACCCCUGUUAUCCGGCUUGAUGUCUGGGAUCCUCUUUGUGCUGAUUAGGUUCUUCAUUUUAAACAAGGAAGAUCCUGUGCCCAACGGUCUCCGCGCCCUUCCAGUGUUCUAUGCUGCUACCAUAGCGAUCAACGUGUUCUCCAUCAUGUACACAGGUGCACCGGUACUGGGACUGGUACUGCCCAUGUGGGCCAUUGCUCUGAUAUCAAUCGGCGUGUCCUUAGUCUUUGCCGUCUUAGUCUGGAUUUUCGUGUGUCCCUGGAUGAAGAGGAAAAUAGAAAGCCGGUUAAAGAAAGAUGCCGCGCUGUCGAGGAUAUCAGAUGAAAGCCUCGAUAAAAUUCAAGGCGAAGAAACGCCCGUCUUUAAAGAGCUUCCCGGUGCCAAAACAUCUGACGAGAGCACCAUUCCCCUCACCGGCUCCGCAACAGAAGCUGCGGGGGCAUCAGAUACCAUCGCAAAUGGAAACCAUCCCCGUGUGCCCUACGGAAGGGCGUUCUCCAUGACGCACACCUCGGUCAAGUCGCCCGUCUCCAACGGCACCUUCAGCUUCGACGGGCAGGUGAGGAGCGACGGCCACGUGUACCACACCGUGCACAAGGACUCGGGUUUGUACAAAGACUUGCUCCACAAAAUACACCUGGACAGGGCCGCCGACGAGAGGCCCGCUCCAGAAAACAACUACAAACUCUUGCGGCGCAACAACAGCUACACGUGCUACACGGCGGCCAUCUGCGGCAUGCCCGUGCACUCCUCCUUCAAGGCGGCCGACACGUCGGCCCCCGAGGACAGCGAGAAGUUGGUCGGGGACACCGUGUCCUACUCCAAGAAGCGGGUUCGCUACGACAGCUACUCCAGCUACUGCAACGCGGUGGCCGAGGCGGAGAUCGAGGCGGAGGAAGGCGGCGUGGAGAUGAAGUUGGGCUCCGAGCUGGCGGAUCCCAACCGGCCGCCCGUGGAUCCCGUGGAGGAGGACAAGGAGGAGAAAGACACGUCUCAGGUCCACCUGCUUUUCCACUUCCUCCAGAUCUUAACGGCCUGUUUCGGAUCCUUCGCCCACGGAGGUAACGACGUCAGCAAUGCCAUCGGACCCCUCGUGGCGCUCUGGCUUAUCUACGAGCAAGGUGGGGUCAUGCAAGAAGCGUCGACCCCCGUCUGGCUGCUGUUCUACGGGGGCGUUGGGAUCUGCGUGGGUCUCUGGGUCUGGGGCAGAAGAGUUAUCCAGACCAUGGGUAAAGACCUCACUCCCAUCACGCCGUCCAGAGUCAAAUAUCCGUGUAGAUGUUGCUCUCUCCUGGCAAUGAGCUGGAUUAUGGAAAAUCCCAAGAGAAAAGUCACCUCGUAGAUGGGCACGAAGAAAGUGGCCUAAAUGGUUUUGCACAGAAGUUUCUUUAGUACAGAAACUUUCGCUCUGUCUCUGGGACGCGUCCCCUGCCCGUGGCCCGGUGACCGUCAGCAGGAGCCCUCCGACGCACCGACGCGGAGGAGCCUUCCCUCUCCAAGAGGAUUAUGAGGGCUCAGAGGUGUAAGUUAUUAUCUCAGGGACGACCUAGGGGGAAAUUCACUGUAUCUGCAAGGGCUGGGUUUGCCACAGACGAGGAGGAGAGGAGGAACCGGAGGUAAUUCAAAGCUCAUCGCUCCAUUUUAUUCAUGGCGACUUCAGCCCCUCUGUUCAUAUACUGUGGUGGCAUUUGGUCAGUGGUUUUUUCUCCUUUUAAAUGACAACUUUGGCCACUUUAUUUAAGACAUAUUUUAGAGUGCUUGGGGGGUUUGUCCUGUACUUUACAGAGAAAUCGUCCAAGUGUCUGAAAAAGAGUCAGGGACACACGGGGGGGCUGAGUGACCACAGAAACUCCUUUUUUGAGGAAACAGCAAUAAAGCAGCGGAGCCCCGGGUGUCCCGGGUGUCCCGGGGGAACCUAAGGGCCGGGAGCGGACGGCGGGACCCGGGGAGAUGCUGCGGUUCGGGGCCGAGGGUCCCCUGGGCGCUGCCGCCCCCGGCCCCACCGUGCGGGGUCCGGGCCCAGAGCCGGGACCGGCAGCGCCCGGUUCCUCCGCGGCAACGCGCUGCUGCGGGACGGGCGGGGGGACCGGCCCGGCCCCGGUGUCCCGGGAAUGAGGGGGACGGGUGGGGGGACCCGGGCUGCGGCAGAGCCGGGAGCUGACGGACCCUCGGCUGGGUGGGGAAUGUGAGGAGGGACAACGGGCUCGGGGCUGGGAGGUUCGUUUUGGGGCGGGGGCGGCAGCGCCAGUGGUUGUCCCAGGAGGGGGAGAGUGAAGCGGGAGCACGAACCGGGGCUGCCCGGGGGUCGCUCCCGUGUGAGUCCCCCGUGUGACAGUCCCGGCCCCGCUGUCCCUGCCCCGGCUGCGGUGCCGCCGAACGGACACGAGAUGGCGCUGCGCUCUGCAGGGCCGCGCGGUGUCCGCCAGGCGGCGCCAUCCCGGGCUGCGGCGGGGGCGGGACCGAGUGAGAGGGGCGGAACCGAGAUCGGAGGGGGCGUGGCCAACCCGCUCGGCCGCGCCCCGAGCGCAGCUGAGCCCGCCGCGGGGACGCGGUGGCCGGUUCUCAUUGGGUCGGUGCCGGUGCCGCGUUUGUUCGGUGCGUUCCCCUGUGUGUCUGGUUGGUGUUGGUGCCUCGGUUGUUUCACGGCAGCGCAGCCGAGCCCGCAGCGAGGACGUGCUGGACACGGACGGGGCGUGAAGGAGCUGCAGGUGCCUGCGGGCAGGUCCCGGACAGAGGCAGCGGCGGGCAAGGGUUAAAACCUACAAUGGCCUCAAUAAAGGGGUGGUGGAAAGUGGCCGCAUGUCGCCGUGGUCCUUACGGGUCCCUCUCGUGCCCAGCCCGGGGCGGGGGGGUCAGGCCGAGCCGUGCCCUGAGGUCACCCGGCCCAUCCCACACCAGCGACUGUUCCCAGACACCUUCCCCCCCCCUCCCCGAUGCGGGGACCCGGGUUCUCGCCGCCAGCUCCAGCUCCAGCCUGUGCAGCUUCAAGCCUGUUUGCGGUUCCAGCUCCUCUGCAGCUGCUUCUGGUUCCAGUUGUUCUGCAGCUCCAGCUCGUUGUGCUUGUUCCACUGAGCUUGGCCUUGGGCCAGAUCGUAAAUCAAUCACUGUCACAAGCUGCCUAGGAAUAUGACACAUGAAUAAAUAUGAACCAAUUAUCUAAUAA